UGACUAUGAUGAUGGUGAUGAUAAUGAUACUCAAUUGGGUCACAGAAAAGUUUUAGCAACGCUUUCAACAUUUAGUAAAAUCUGAACCAAGACUAUUAAUACACAAAUUCAUACAAGAAAAAGAGCUCUACUGCUCAAGCUGAGCAUACCAAAUUCCCUGGAUCUUGACCUCCUUUGGAGUCUUUGCUCCCAGAUCAGUAUCAGAUGGCUGAACGCUCUCAAACACUCCAAUAACCUCUCCAGUCGAAGGAUUGCUUCCAGUGACACUAAGGGUAAUUUUCCCUGUUGAUGACGAAGUAUUCUUAAUGUUCUCCUUAGCUAGUUCCUCCUCGUCUCCUCUGCCUCCGGCGGGCAAGGCAACUGCACUGUCAUAACCGCUAGAGCCACCUCUUCCCUUUGGGUCCAAGAAAGAUGAACCACGGUAGGAUGGUACAAGAAACUCUCCGCCAAAGCUCUCUGGUUUCCCUGUUGCCACCAGCUGUUUAAUGGUGAAAAGGAAAGGCACACGUUCACCACCAGGAAGCUGCACCGUUACAGCAGCAUAAUCUAUUCCAUCUUUCUCCUCAAACUUCAAACUUCCAUCAGGGGAGACUUCGAAAGGUCCCUCAAUCUCGUCGAGAGUGUAGGUCAAGCGUGUCAUGAGCUUAGUGUUUUGGAACUCAGGUGGGGAUUUCUUGGCUACACUUUCUGCCUUGACAGUGAACGAAGUAGGCUCUAGGCAGAACUUCUUGGCAUUGUAUUUGCCAGGUUUGAAGGCAAAUUUGUCCACCCCACCUUCAAUGCUUGGGCAUUGGUUUGCUGUACCAGUUCCCUUUACUUCCAUAUAUGUCUUGCUUUGGAUUUCAUCAUAAGUUAGCCUCUUUGGGACUCCCUCAGCACUUGCUCCCGAAACGACAAGAGCAGAAGUAGCAAGAGCAAAUCCAGCAAGCUUAGUAGCAUCAACACACUUUUGAGCCAAGUCCUUAAGGUCAGAUUGCAAGGAGCAAGCGAUCCUAGCAUUAGUAGGGUCCAACCCAAAAGCCUUAGACACACUCUUAGAAGAUCUGAGCUGAAGGCUGCUGGUCCUGGCAGGCGCCCAACCUACCUUAGUGGGUUGCAUAUGUGUGGCUGCUGCUUGUAGUGAGGCUGCCAUAGUUUACUCUCCUUGCUUCUUCCUCCUCUGCGUCAGUAUCUCUUGUGGAAAUGUAUUUGCCUAUCGAUAACAAGGAAUAAAUGUGUUUUUUUUUGC
This 1228-nucleotide unclassified non-coding RNA is filed under the name Hevea brasiliensis (rubber tree). The record is from RNAcentral. Lineage: Eukaryota; Viridiplantae; Streptophyta; Magnoliopsida; Malpighiales; Euphorbiaceae.